CAGUUAACAACUGAACAAGGCCUUGUAGUUAACCGAACCCAGCCUGCUUAAAGUCACGUUUGUAAUAUUAUUUAUAGCACCACAUCCCCUGAAGCAGGAUUAUUGAUACCCGAUAAGAAUUAAAUGAAAUCAUGACAGCAAAAGAGAGAAAGACGUUUCCUCGGUGUGUAAGCUGAAGUUGGCUGGAGGAACAGAACUGUCUGACUUCCACACGUCUCUACUUCAGGGAGGCAAAUAGUUUUCAAGAGAAGGGAAAAGAAGAGCAGCUGCCGGGGUGUCCGUGGUGCGAAAGACGUCACAUUUCUAGGGCUGGGCGCU
This 318-nucleotide long non-coding RNA is filed under the name Bos taurus (domestic cattle). RNAcentral's name for it is "long non-coding RNA NONBTAT002923". The record is from RNAcentral. Lineage: Eukaryota; Metazoa; Chordata; Mammalia; Artiodactyla; Bovidae.